Molecule: long non-coding RNA, 2085 nt
Filed under: Sus scrofa (pig)
Lineage: Eukaryota; Metazoa; Chordata; Mammalia; Artiodactyla; Suidae
Description: lncRNA (ENSSSCG00005032711.1)
Source: RNAcentral
CGCGCGCGCCUCCCUUGCUCCGCAGCGCUCACGCUCGCGCGCAAUUCCCUCUCGCCGGCUAGCCUUCAGCCGCCGACGUCUCGGCCCCUCAGAAAGCCGGUCGCGCCAUGUCUUCGCCUCCCGCGGGAAAGCUAGAGACGAAAGCAGGACACCCGCCCGCCGUGAAAGCUGGUGGGAUGCGAAUUGUGCAGAAACAUCCGCACUCUGGAGAUGCCAAGGAAGAGAAGGACAAGGACGACCAGGAGUGGGAAAGCCCCAGAAGCCCCAUGCCUCCAUAGACAAGCAUCCAUGCCCGAGAACCCAGCACAUCCAGCAGCCUCGCAAGUGAUCGGCGAGCACCCACCACCCACCCUAGCCUCGGUUCCCUGACACUUGGUAUUUCCCAACAAAGAGGACUGGCAUCUUCUUCAAAACACUUCCCCGUGGAGAAAUCCAAGACAAAGCAAAACUCCCCUUCCGUUGCCUUAAAUUUCCACAUCUAACACUAGAAUCAGACCCCAAACCUUGUUUGCAGGGAGUCCUGGCUGGUGUCACUUGAGGGUCCUUGGGCCUCUUACAAGUGCCAUUAGCAGAACUUACCGGACCUGAGUGAAAUGAGCUUGUUCAGAGUUUAGCUUUGUUCCCAUUCAUCGGCUGCCCUGUCAGUGGACUUAAAAACAAGCGGGCACAGAUUUUGGAGGGUUAGAGGAAGGUCAGGGGAAAGCUCAGUCAUUUCAUGCUUUUUGGUAAGAGGACCAUAACGUCUUAACACCUAGUGGGCAGAGAAAGAGAUGAAGGCAUUGAUUACAGGAAGGCUGAGCAGGGGAGACUUUUGAAACAGGCAACAGCAUCGCUGUAUUUCCCUCCCUUGUGUGACAAGGGAUCACAGCACAGGAGACACCAAGCACUCACAGAAAGGCCACGGAAAAGCUCACAGCUUUGAAAUGGCUCUUCUUUCCCAGGAGUCAUCUUGCUGAAAAUUUUGCCUAAACCAGAUCUGUCAGUGCGGGUCCCAAGUCCAGCACAGCCCCACCAUCCACAAUGGGUUUGUAGGAAAUCAAGGAAAACCUUCCUUCUUCAAGCAUCACCUCCAGAGCUGUCUUCAGGUUCUGGCCGUGAUCACUGACCAGGUGACACAUAGCUAGUCUUGGAACCCUAGAGCAAAAGCCGUUAACGUCCGUGGAAAGACCAGAUGAAAACCUGCCCUUUGCCUCCCUAGGGAAAAGCAGAACACCAUGUGCCAUUUGAGCUACAAAAGCCUGUUUGUCAACCAGUCAAAGUGUCCAGAUUCCCUCUGCCCAAGGGCCCCGUUGCCUGGGCCCAUGUUCACUUGCCAUCUCAAACCGUCUAGCACUUUCUGUCCACAUGUCCUGCCCAGAGCCACCCUAGACUGCCCACUGGCUCAUAGCUACCAUAUGCCUUGCUUUUCUGAAAAGCCAAAGGGCUCAUUUAUUUACUCAGAGGUUCAAAUCUCCCAGAGCAGAUGCUUUGAGAGAAGGUGCAGCCUGGCAGUCCCGCUUGCCGGAGUGGUGUUUGCUGCAGCUGGGCACACACACCACAGUCCUUGUGAUGCCUUCUCCAGGUCCACAGCCAUGACUGGUAAGAGUGCCAGAGGCCAGGAGACCCAGCUCUCAUCCUUCCCUAAGGGAAAAGCCAGCACUUCUUCACAUCCUAAAAGUAAUGUUUGGUUUCCCAUCUCAUUGAUGUGGGAGCCGGGGUCUUACCCUGCAAGCGCUGUAUAGUCACGUCUCCUAGUCCUUAAUUGCUAAGAUGCUGCCAUACUCUGGGGCUGGCUUGUGGAGAUGCAGGCUAGAUGGGCAGCCACCUCCUGGAGGCAGCAUCUCUGAAGGAUGCUGAGAGCAGACAGCACCAGGUCAGGUCUGUGGACCACUACACCCUCUGCUGCAGAAAUGAAGACACGUCCUCGAUGCUUUUUAGUGUUGCAGCCAGGAUCAACUCGCUACUCCCCAUGGUGCAUCUUUCACGUCCUUUUUGCUACAUCUGGCAUGGAGCUGUGUGUUGUAGAAUCACUGAACGCAAAAGGUUCUCCUGGAUGAGUUUAUCUGUAGUUAACUUUUAAGAAUAAUAAUGGUGAUAAUAAAGCUC